AUUGAACGCUGGCGGCAGGCCUAACACAUGCAAGUCGAGCGGAUGAAGGGAGCUUGCUCCUGGAUUCAGCGGCGGACGGGUGAGUAAUGCCUAGGAAUCUGCCUGGUAGUGGGGGAUAACGUCCGGAAACGGGCGCUAAUACCGCAUACGUCCUGAGGGAGAAAGUGGGGGUUCUUCGGACCUCACGCUAUCAGAUGAGCCUAGGUCGGAUUAGCUAGUUGGUGGGGUAAAGGCCUACCAAGGCGACGAUCCGUAACUGGUCUGAGAGGAUGACCAGCCACACUGGAACUGAGACACGGUCCAGACUCCUACGGGACGCAGCAGUGGGGAAUAGUGGACAAUGGGCGAAAGCCUGAUCCAGCCAUGCCGCGUGUGUGAAGAAGGUCUUCGGAUUGUAAAGCACUUUAAGUUGGGAGGAAGGGCAGUAAGUUAAUACCUUGCUGUUUUGACGUUACCAACAGAAUAAGCACCGGCUAACUUCGUG
RNAcentral lists this ribosomal RNA (484 nucleotides) under uncultured bacterium. Its description in RNAcentral is "partial 16S ribosomal RNA". It matches the Rfam family "Bacterial small subunit ribosomal RNA", at positions 30 to 507 of the family's 1533-position model. The record is from RNAcentral.